GGUUCGGGACGACCCGGAUACACGCCAUCUUAUUGGGGACGGCCCCA
This 47-nucleotide non-coding RNA is filed under the name Xenorhabdus szentirmaii. Its description in RNAcentral is "Guanidine-II sequence". It matches the Rfam family "Guanidine-II riboswitch aptamer (mini-ykkC)". Rfam says of the family: Simpler in structure and has fewer highly conserved nucleotide positions than the ykkC-yxkD leader. Despite this each of its two stem-loop structures directly bind free guanidine. The record is from RNAcentral. Lineage: Bacteria; Pseudomonadati; Pseudomonadota; Gammaproteobacteria; Enterobacterales; Morganellaceae. RNAcentral also lists the same sequence under 1 other name.